RNAcentral lists this transfer RNA (61 nucleotides) under Ictidomys tridecemlineatus (thirteen-lined ground squirrel). RNAcentral describes it as "Spermophilus tridecemlineatus (thirteen-lined ground squirrel) tRNA". It matches the Rfam family "tRNA", at positions 6 to 65 of the family's 71-position model. From Rfam's summary of the family: Transfer RNA (tRNA) molecules are approximately 80 nucleotides in length. Their secondary structure includes four short double-helical elements and three loops (D, anti-codon, and T loops). Lineage: Eukaryota; Metazoa; Chordata; Mammalia; Rodentia; Sciuridae. The record is from Rfam by way of RNAcentral.
UGUAGCUCAGUGGUAGAGUACUUGCCUAGAAAGCAAGAGCGCCAGGUUUUGAUCCCCAGCA